UACGUAGGGGGCUAGCGUUGUCCGGAUUUAUUGGGCGUAAAGAGCGUGUAGGCGGCCCGGUCAGUCGGUUGUGAAAGUCAGGGGCUCAACCCUUGAAUGCCGACCGAUACUGCCGGGCUAGAGUCCGGAAGAGGCGAGUGGAAUUCCUGGUGUAGCGGUGAAAUGCGCAGAUAUCAGGAGGAACACCAACGGCGAAGGCAGCUCGCUGGGACGGUACUGACGCUGAGACGCGAAAGCGUGGGGAGCAAACAGG
Molecule: ribosomal RNA, 253 nt
Filed under: uncultured bacterium
Lineage: Bacteria
Description: partial 16S ribosomal RNA
Rfam family: Bacterial small subunit ribosomal RNA
Source: RNAcentral